CUAGGCUGAUCUUAGCAUCUAUGUUUAGAGCCUAGGCUAGAUAUAUAGUUCUCAUAUGUAUUUUGCUUUUAUCAUGUAUCUUUAAACUUUGAUUCAGGAACAUUGUAUCUGUUUUUGUUUUUGGCAUGAAUGUAUGAAAAUGUUCCCGUUUUGAUCAAUGAAGUUUGAAGUUUGGUAUUUAUUGCAUCUUUUCCAUGUAUCUUUUUGAUGAUAACAAAAAGGGGGAGAAGUAAAGAAAGAGUAUUUAUUUUAGGAGAAGUAAAGAUCUCAGGGAAGAAGUAAAGAUAUUGUUUAGAGUAAAUAAAGUAACAAAAAGGGGAGAACUAAAGAUAUCUUUAGAGUAAGUAAAGAAAGAAUAAUAAGAGCAAAAGUAAAGAAAGUUAAAGAAAGGAGAAGUAAAGAAAAAGAAAUAAGAAGUUAUGUAAAGAAAGAGAAAUAAGAACUUAUGCAAGAAAAGAGAAAUAAUUGGGCAAACAAAUUGAAAAUCAUAUAAGAAAGCUUAUACAUCUAAGGGGGAGCAAUUUGUAACAAUGAAAAUCAUCAAAUCAAAAAUUUCUAUCAAGUUUCAGAAUUUGGCACAUAUAAUUUCAGAAUUUGGCACGCACCUCUUGCACCCCGAUACAUAAUCUGAAACUCAUAUUUUAUCUCAAAUUUUUGAAGUUUCAUCGUUAAUGAAUUAUAAAUGAAAGGGGGAGCAAUUCAAAAAGUCAAAUUGGCAACAUUUAAAUGAAAUAGGGGGGGAUUUCACUCUUAUAUAUGAAAAGCUGAAAUUCAGCAAGUUAAGCCCUUUCAAAAACUGAUCUUAAAGACAAGUAUCAAU
This 820-nucleotide long non-coding RNA is filed under the name Phoenix dactylifera (date palm). RNAcentral describes it as "long non-coding RNA (PDAC_LNC005768)". The record is from RNAcentral. Lineage: Eukaryota; Viridiplantae; Streptophyta; Magnoliopsida; Arecales; Arecaceae.